RNAcentral lists this long non-coding RNA (282 nucleotides) under Lathyrus oleraceus (garden pea). RNAcentral describes it as "Pisum sativum (pea) long non-coding RNA (PSAT_LNC021997)". Lineage: Eukaryota; Viridiplantae; Streptophyta; Magnoliopsida; Fabales; Fabaceae. The record is from RNAcentral.
AAUGAGCAGGAUUUUGAAUUUCAUGAUCACAUGCUUCAAUGGAUUCGUUUGGAAGCCUCCAAACUGAGAUUUGGUGUGGUUAUCAGAAGGUCUGGUAAUGGUUCGAAUAAAAGCUGUACUUUUGUGAUAAUGUCGUGCGAAAGAAGUGGGAAAUAUAUACCUCCUCUCCGAAAUUUUAAACGCAACGACAUCGAUUCAAGAAAAUGUGAGUGUCCCUUUAAGGUGUGUGGUUAUAUGUUAGCAAACAAUAAAUGGAGAUUUAAUGUCAUAUGUGGUUUACAU